CAGUGAGUAUGUUUUUGAACACAUUAACCCCCAAGUUCUAUGUUGCCCUGACAGGCACUUCCUCAUUAAUCUCAGGACUUAUUUUGGUAAGUACUAGAUUUCCCCCUUUCCCUGCUACAGUGCUGAAGUACUGUGUACUUCGGAUAAAGUGUAACCACUUAAAUAAGACGAGCGAGAAGAAUAGCGUCACUGUGAUCAAAUAG
This is a non-coding RNA of Opisthocomus hoazin, 203 nucleotides long. Lineage: Eukaryota; Metazoa; Chordata; Aves; Opisthocomiformes; Opisthocomidae. The record is from RefSeq and is a predicted model, not a curated record.